GCGCACCAGUCGCGAAUACUUUACAAUGUGCGAAAGCACGAUAAGGGAACUCUGAGUGCCUCCUAAGGAGGCUGUUCAGGUGUCUAAAAGCACCUGAAGGAAGGGCUGGGUAAGACCGGUGCCAGCCGCCGCGGUAACACCGGCAGCCCAAGUGGUAGCCACGUUUAUUGGGUCUAAAGCGUCCGUAGCCGGCUGGGUAAGUUCCUUGGGAAAUUUGGCUGCUUAACAGUCAAGCUUUCAGGGAAUACUGCCCGGCUUGGGGACCGGGAGAGGUCAGAGGUACUCCAGGGGUAGGGGUGAAAUCCAUUAAUCCUUGGGGGACCACCGGUAGCGAAGGCGUCUGACCAGACCGGGUCCGACGGUGAGGGACGAAGGCUA
This 378-nucleotide ribosomal RNA is filed under the name uncultured microorganism. Its description in RNAcentral is "bacterial SSU rRNA". It matches the Rfam family "Archaeal small subunit ribosomal RNA", at positions 330 to 713 of the family's 1478-position model. The record is from RNAcentral.